GUUGCAGACCCCUGGCCUAGAUCAAUGUAAAAAUGAAAAACACAUAGUUGGAGCUUGAAUGAGAGAGUAGUGCAUUACGUCCACUGUGUACUUAACAAAUAGCAGAUUUAAUAACACUCUGACAGGCUGGUGAUGAGAACUGGACAGACUGACCACAUCCUCAUCACAGUCACCCAGUUAAGACUGAACCGUUCCUUAAUGGAGACUGAGUGAUUACUGAUGAGGCACAGGUGUGCACAUGAUGGACGGGGUUCCUAUUGUCAAAAGGUGCCCUUAUCACUGUCUCUCCCUCUCUCCCUUGCUUGUUGAGCUGGGAGGAGGAGCCACAUUUUGAUGCUCCAUGUUAAACCAUUAACAUUAUUUGUUACACUUUAGCUGUGAUGGCUCUCAUUGUGUUUUGUAGUGCUGUCUCUCUCUGACACCUCACACACACCACAGCAUUGCAGUGCUGACCACAGUACAAAUGUGCUUCUAUUAUUCUCCCCAGUAUAACUUCCUGUUCUUUCAUCUCCAUAUAAAACAUUGACUCUACUAGUUUAAGGAGUUCUGUUUGUACUGACUGCUGACAUUUGUCUCAGUAACAAACAAAUUCAUCUCCUCUCACUGUUCCUAUCAGAUGAUUCCAACUUAUACUCACAUAAUAUUAAAACGCCUUGAAAUUAAUGUAAUGAAUUUGUAUUCUAUAAACUGACUGAUUUAAAUCAACUUUCCACAUGUUCACAAUGACGGAAAAAAUAAAGACAGUCACUCUCUCACCAGUGUGUUAACAUUUUAGUUUGUGAACAUUUAAUCAGUCUAAGUAAUUUAGCAAAUUCCAAAAAAGUUCAAAGGUUUACUCGUGUGUGUCAUAUAAUGUGUAUUUUUGAAUCCACUGAUGAGGAAAAACAAAAUGGUGAGGACUUAAAGACAGCUCUGUUAGUCCAUCAGUGUGUGAACCAUUUGUGUUUCUGAUGUUUAUGUGGUCAACAUUAGAGGCUCACACCUCCAGAGCUUUGCUGCUGCUGUACCCACAUUCUCACAGAAAUACUUCCCCUUCACUUCUCAGAAAAAAAUGACUUCAUAGGUACAAUGAUGGCCAACAGGCCUCAGACUACUAACACAUCUUCUCUGUGUCCUUAUCCAGCUGCUAGCAGUGGUGUUUGCUGCAGUAUCAACAUGUUUCAUUGUGAGCAUCAACACACACAUUCUUGUUAAAAGCUCAAUUAUUCAGUUUAUGAAUAAAGAGAGAGGGAGGAUAAGAACAUUUGAAGGCUGUAAACUAAAUUAAUUCAGAACAAGUGAUGGAGAGUAAACCACUGAUGAGGAAGUGAGCAGGAAGUUGAAGCUGUGUUCAUCUCUGAGACUGUCUCAUUUGUGAAUGUGAGAGCAGAGAGUAGAGACUGACAGACAGAGAAGUACGAUGGCUGCAGUCAUGUGGAUUCAAAUGUCUUCAUUCCUGCUGCUGAUGCUUCAGAUUACAGAAACAACACCACAGACUUUGUCCUCCUUCAGAGCUGCCAGAGCUGGACAUGACAUCAUUUUGUCUUGUGAAAAUGUGAUAGAUGGUCAACAUAACUGCAACUAUACUACCUGGAUGUUCACUGAUUCAAGAAACCCAGCAGCAGUAGAGCUGGUUGUUCAUGGACAGAUUAAUGAAAAUGUUACAGCUGAAUACACCAGACUGAGUGUUACAGCGAACUGUUCUCUGCUUAUAAAGAAGGUCAAAGCUGAAGAUGUUGGUGGUUACACCUGCAGACAGUACAAAACAAGAGGAGGACCACAAGAAGGUCCAGACUUUACAGUUUAUUUGUCUGUAAUUAACAUGACUGAACAUGAGAACAAUGAUAAAGUCAUUGUGAACUGCUCUGUGCUGACACAUGGACACUGUAGACACACAGUGGAGUGGUUGUAAACGUAGUUUGCAGGUUUUUUUCUUGAAAUAAUUUUGUUUUAAUUUGUUAUUUCAUUUCUUUAGGUGAAAACACAAAAUCAAAGACUGCAAAUUUCGUCUCAACAACAACAACAACAACAACAACAACGAGAACAACAAAAUCUUCUCUAGAAUCAAGAAAAACCUCACAAGGUGAAGAAAAGACAAACUCAGCAACUGCACAAUUCACAUCAACAACAACAAAAUCUCCUUCAGAAUUGGGAAACACCUCAGGUUUUCUGCUCAGAUGCAUCAUCGUGUCUGUGGGUUUCGCAGCACUCCUAAUAUCUGCUGUUACAGUCAACAUGUGGACAAAAACCAAAGGAAUAAAAACACAGAUGGAAGGAAACACUGUGCAUAACGAUGAAGAUGAUGGUGCAGUGAACUACGAAAGCACUGCAGACUCUUCUGCUUCUGUCAGACUCCACUGACCAACAACUUCAACAUCAACUGAUCACAAAAAUGAAUCAUAAUAUCAUUGAUAUUUUCUGACAUUUACUUUUUGAUUUUAUCUCAUAUGUAGGAGCAAAAUUCUUUUCUUUGUGCACUGAGCUUCAACUAAUAAGAAAAAUAACUUCAAA
This is a long non-coding RNA of Oreochromis niloticus (Nile tilapia), 2490 nucleotides long. RefSeq lists it as uncharacterized. The record is from RefSeq and is a predicted model, not a curated record. The transcript has 7 exons. Lineage: Eukaryota; Metazoa; Chordata; Actinopteri; Cichliformes; Cichlidae.